GCGGUAAUACGUAGGUGGCAAGCGUUGUCCGGAAUUAUUGGGCGUAAAGCGCGCGCAGGUGGUUCCUUAAGUCUGAUGUGAAAGCCCACGGCUCAACCGUGGAGGGUCAUUGGAAACUGGGGAACUUGAGUGCAGAAGAGGAAAGUGGAAUUCCAAGUGUAGCGGUGAAAUGCGUAGAGAUUUGGAGGAACACCAGUGGCGAAGGCGACUUUCUGGUCUGUAACUGACACUGAGGCGCGAAAGCGUGGGGAGCAAACAGGAUU
Molecule: ribosomal RNA, 263 nt
Filed under: Peribacillus muralis
Lineage: Bacteria; Bacillati; Bacillota; Bacilli; Caryophanales; Bacillaceae
Description: partial 16S ribosomal RNA
Rfam family: Bacterial small subunit ribosomal RNA
Source: RNAcentral